RNAcentral lists this ribosomal RNA (1401 nucleotides) under Limosilactobacillus fermentum. RNAcentral's name for it is "Lactobacillus fermentum 16S ribosomal RNA". It matches the Rfam family "Bacterial small subunit ribosomal RNA". The record is from RNAcentral. Lineage: Bacteria; Bacillati; Bacillota; Bacilli; Lactobacillales; Lactobacillaceae.
UUUGGUCGCCAACGAGUGGCGGACGGGUGAGUAACACGUAGGUAACCUGCCCAGAAGCGGGGGACAACAUUUGGAAACAGAUGCUAAUACCGCAUAACAGCGUUGUUCGCAUGAACAACGCUUAAAAGAUGGCUUCUCGCUAUCACUUCUGGAUGGACCUGCGGUGCAUUAGCUUGUUGGUGGGGUAACGGCCUACCAAGGCGAUGAUGCAUAGCCGAGUUGAGAGACUGAUCGGCCACAAUGGGACUGAGACACGGCCCAUACUCCUACGGGAGGCAGCAGUAGGGAAUCUUCCACAAUGGGCGCAAGCCUGAUGGAGCAACACCGCGUGAGUGAAGAAGGGUUUCGGCUCGUAAAGCUCUGUUGUUAAAGAAGAACACGUAUGAGAGUAACUGUUCAUACGUUGACGGUAUUUAACCAGAAAGUCACGGCUAACUACGUGCCAGCAGCCGCGGUAAUACGUAGGUGGCAAGCGUUAUCCGGAUUUAUUGGGCGUAAAGAGAGUGCAGGCGGUUUUCUAAGUCUGAUGUGAAAGCCUUCGGCUUAACCGGAGAAGUGCAUCGGAAACUGGAUAACUUGAGUGCAGAAGAGGGUAGUGGAACUCCAUGUGUAGCGGUGGAAUGCGUAGAUAUAUGGAAGAACACCAGUGGCGAAGGCGGCUACCUGGUCUGCAACUGACGCUGAGACUCGAAAGCAUGGGUAGCGAACAGGAUUAGAUACCCUGGUAGUCCAUGCCGUAAACGAUGAGUGCUAGGUGUUGGAGGGUUUCCGCCCUUCAGUGCCGGAGCUAACGCAUUAAGCACUCCGCCUGGGGAGUACGACCGCAAGGUUGAAACUCAAAGGAAUUGACGGGGGCCCGCACAAGCGGUGGAGCAUGUGGUUUAAUUCGAAGCUACGCGAAGAACCUUACCAGGUCUUGACAUCUUGCGCCAACCCUAGAGAUAGGGCGUUUCCUUCGGGAACGCAAUGACAGGUGGUGCAUGGUCGUCGUCAGCUCGUGUCGUGAGAUGUUGGGUUAAGUCCCGCAACGAGCGCAACCCUUGUUACUAGUUGCCAGCAUUAAGUUGGGCACUCUAGUGAGACUGCCGGUGACAAACCGGAGGAAGGUGGGGACGACGUCAGAUCAUCAUGCCCCUUAUGACCUGGGCUACACACGUGCUACAAUGGACGGUACAACGAGUCGCGAACUCGCGAGGGCAAGCAAAUCUCUUAAAACCGUUCUCAGUUCGGACUGCAGGCUGCAACUCGCCUGCACGAAGUCGGAAUCGCUAGUAAUCGCGGAUCAGCAUGCCGCGGUGAAUACGUUCCCGGGCCUUGUACACACCGCCCGUCACACCAUGAGAGUUUGUAACACCCAAAGUCGGUGGGGUAACCUUUUAGGAGCCAGCCGCCUAAGGUGGG